RNAcentral lists this long non-coding RNA (351 nucleotides) under Gossypium barbadense (sea-island cotton). Its description in RNAcentral is "long non-coding RNA (GBAR_LNC011063)". Lineage: Eukaryota; Viridiplantae; Streptophyta; Magnoliopsida; Malvales; Malvaceae. The record is from RNAcentral.
AUCCUUAUUCUCCAAAAGAACAUCUUUUUCACCCUUCUCUCCCACAGUUUCUUUCUCCAAAAGAUCACUUUUUUCUGCCUUAUCUUUCACAGUAUCAUCUUUUUCUUUCUUAUCCACAUCUUGCUUCUUCAAACUCGCCUUCGGCACCGUAUUUCUCUCAUCCACCUCUUCCUCUUCCUCAUCUUCAUCAACAUCCCAACUCAGUUCCUCCUCUUCUUCCCUAGAAAUCGCUCUAUUAACAAGCUUAACCCUCAUAUCCUCAGCUUGCUUAAGCUUAAAAACCUUAUAAAAGUACCUACACCAAAACGUCUCAUGAUCAACCCCAUUUGAAACACCAACAACCCUUUUAUA